RNAcentral lists this unclassified non-coding RNA (157 nucleotides) under uncultured Clonostachys. Its description in RNAcentral is "sequence contains ITS1". Lineage: Eukaryota; Fungi; Ascomycota; Sordariomycetes; Hypocreales; Bionectriaceae. The record is from RNAcentral.
CCGAGUUUACAACUCCCAAACCCAUGUGAACAUACCUAUCGUUGCUUCGGCGGGAUCGCCCCGGGCGCCUUGUGUGCCCCGGAUCCAGGCACCCGCCGGGGGACUUCAACUCUUGUUUUUUUUUAGAAUCUUCUGAGUCGUUUUUACAAAUAAAUAA